UACGUAGGUGGCAAGCGUUGUCCGGAAUUAUUGGGCGUAAAGCGCGCGCAGGCGGUCCCUUAAGUCUGAUGUGAAAGCCCACGGCUUAACCGUGGAGGGUCAUUGGAAACUGGUCGACUUGAGUGCAGAAGAGGGAAGUGGAAUUCCAUGUGUAGCGGUGAAAUGCGUAGAGAUAUGGAGGAACACCAGUGGCGAAGGCGGCUUCCUGGUCUGUAACUGACACUGAGGCGCGAAAGCGUGGGGAGCAAAC
RNAcentral lists this ribosomal RNA (250 nucleotides) under uncultured prokaryote. RNAcentral's name for it is "partial 16S ribosomal RNA". It matches the Rfam family "Bacterial small subunit ribosomal RNA", at positions 524 to 773 of the family's 1533-position model. The record is from RNAcentral.